UCCGGUUUGUCACCGGCAGUCUCGCAUGAGUCCCCAACUAAAUGCUGGCAACAUGCGACGGGGGUUGCGCUCGUUGCGGGACUUAACCCAACAUCUCACGACACGAGCUGACGACAGCCAUGCAGCACCUAUGUAAAGGCCCUUUCGGGAAACGUAAUCUCUCACGUCGCCCUCUACAUUUCGAGCCCAGGUAAGGUUCUUCGCGUUGCAUCGAAUUAAACCACAUGCUCCACUGCUUGUGCGGGCCCCCGUCAAUUCUUUUGAGUUUUAACCUUGCGGCCGUACUCCCCAGGCGGUCGACUUCACGCGUUAGCUUCGUUACUGAGAGUGUCAAACCCCCAACAACCAGUCGACAUCGUUUAGGGCGUGGACUAC
This 375-nucleotide unclassified non-coding RNA is filed under the name uncultured bacterium. RNAcentral's name for it is "contains 16S-23S intergenic spacer region". The record is from RNAcentral.